This 60-nucleotide transfer RNA is filed under the name Ditylum brightwellii. Lineage: Eukaryota; Bacillariophyta; Thalassiosirophyceae; Lithodesmiales; Lithodesmiaceae. The record is from RNAcentral.
ACCAGAACCCAAACUCUGAUUUUAGUGAUGUUUUUACUGAAACUUCAGUGACAGUGUUAU